AAUUUUCCGCAAUGGACGCAAGUCUGACGGAGCAACGCCGCGUGAGCGACGAAGGUCUUCGGAUUGUAAACCUCUGUUGUCAGGGAAGAAUAAGUGCCGGAGUCACUGCCGGCACCUUGACGGUACCUGCCCAGAACGCCACGGCUAACUACGUGCCAGCAGCCGCGGUAAUACGUAGGUGGCAAGCGUUGUCCGGAAUUAUUGGGCGUAAAGCGCGCGCAGGCGGUCCCUUAAGUCUGAUGUGAAGGCCCCCGGCUUAACCGGGGAGGGUCAUUGGAAACUGGGGGACUUGAGUGCAGAAGAGAAGAGCGGAAUUCCACGUGUAGCGGUGAAAUGCGUAGAGAUGUGGAGGAACACCAGUGGCGAAGGCGGCUCUUUGGUCUGUAACCGACGCUGAGGCGCGAAAGCGUGGGGGGCAAAC
This 421-nucleotide ribosomal RNA is filed under the name uncultured bacterium. RNAcentral's name for it is "partial 16S ribosomal RNA". It matches the Rfam family "Bacterial small subunit ribosomal RNA", at positions 360 to 773 of the family's 1533-position model. The record is from RNAcentral.